RNAcentral lists this ribosomal RNA (1704 nucleotides) under Pantoea anthophila. RNAcentral describes it as "partial 23S ribosomal RNA". It matches the Rfam family "Bacterial large subunit ribosomal RNA", at positions 1263 to 2925 of the family's 2925-position model. Lineage: Bacteria; Pseudomonadati; Pseudomonadota; Gammaproteobacteria; Enterobacterales; Erwiniaceae. The record is from RNAcentral.
GUGAGGCAUGCUGGAGGUAUCAGAAGUGCGAAUGCUGACAUAAGUAACGAUAAAGCGGGUGAAAAGCCCGCUCGCCGGAAGACCAAGGGUUCCUGUUCAACGUUAAUCGGAGCAGGGUGAGUCGACCCCUAAGGCGAGGCCGAAAGGCGUAGUCGAUGGGAAACAGGUUAAUAUUCCUGUACUCGGUGUUACUGCGAAGGGGGGACGGAGAAGGCUAUAUCAGCCGGGCGACGGUUGUCCCGGUUUAAGCGUGUAGGCGGAGGGUCCAGGUAAAUCCGGACUCUUUUAACGCUGAGGCGUGACGACGAGGCACUACGGUGCUGAAGUGAUAAAUGCCCUGCUUCCAGGAAAAGCCUCUAAGCAUCAGGUAACACAGAAUCGUACCCCAAACCGACACAGGUGGUCAGGUAGAGAAUACCAAGGCGCUUGAGAGAACUCGGGUGAAGGAACUAGGCAAAAUGGUGCCGUAACUUCGGGAGAAGGCACGCUGGCGCGUAGGUGAAGGGACUUGCUCCCGGAGCUGAAGCCAGUCGAAGAUACCAGCUGGCUGCAACUGUUUAUUAAAAACACAGCACUGUGCAAACACGAAAGUGGACGUAUACGGUGUGACGCCUGCCCGGUGCCGGAAGGUUAAUUGAUGGGGUUAUCCGCAAGGAGAAGCUCUUGAUCGAAGCCCCGGUAAACGGCGGCCGUAACUAUAACGGUCCUAAGGUAGCGAAAUUCCUUGUCGGGUAAGUUCCGACCUGCACGAAUGGCGUAAUGAUGGCCAGGCUGUCUCCACCCGAGACUCAGUGAAAUUGAACUCGCUGUGAAGAUGCAGUGUACCCGCGGCAAGACGGAAAGACCCCGUGAACCUUUACUACAGCUUGACACUGAACAUUGAGCCUUGAUGUGUAGGAUAGGUGGGAGGCUUUGAAGCGCGGACGCCAGUCUGCGUGGAGCCAUCCUUGAAAUACCACCCUUUAAUGUUUGAUGUUCUAACGUGGCCCCGUGAUCCGGGGUGCGGACAGUGUCUGGUGGGUAGUUUGACUGGGGCGGUCUCCUCCCAAAGAGUAACGGAGGAGCACGAAGGUCAGCUAAUCACGGUCGGACAUCGUGAGGUUAGUGCAAUGGCAUAAGCUGGCUUGACUGCGAGAGUGACGGCUCGAGCAGGUGCGAAAGCAGGUCAUAGUGAUCCGGUGGUUCUGAAUGGAAGGGCCAUCGCUCAACGGAUAAAAGGUACUCCGGGGAUAACAGGCUGAUACCGCCCAAGAGUUCAUAUCGACGGCGGUGUUUGGCACCUCGAUGUCGGCUCAUCACAUCCUGGGGCUGAAGUAGGUCCCAAGGGUACGGCUGUUCGCCGUUUAAAGUGGUACGCGAGCUGGGUUUAGAACGUCGUGAGACAGUUCGGUCCCUAUCUGCCGUGGGCGCUGGAGAAUUGAGGGGGGUUGCUCCUAGUACGAGAGGACCGGAGUGAACGCACCACUGGUGUUCGGGUUGUCAUGCCAAUGGCACUGCCCGGUAGCUAAGUGCGGAAAAGAUAAGUGCUGAAAGCAUCUAAGCACGAAACUUGCCCCGAGAUGAGUUCUCCCUGACCCCUUGAGGGUCCUGAAGGGACGUUGAAGACGACGACGUUGAUAGGCCGGGUGUGUAAGCGCAGCGAUGCGUUGAGCUAACCGGUACUAAUGACCCGUGAGGCUUAACCUUACAACGCCAGAGGCGUUU